GUGCAGCUCAGCGCUGCGGAGCGAGGUCGAAGUCGCUGCUUGGAGGCCAGGCGGGGAUGGAAAUGGGAGCAGGAUCUAAAGGCUGGGAUGAGACAAGAAGACAUGGAGCUACCCCGCAAAGGUCACUUUGGUCAGCUGGAUCAGGCUACAGCAGCCAGCCGCCUGGGCUCCUGGACACGUGGCUGCCCGCGGCCCCCGGGUCCUCCACCUGCCGGAUCUCAGGUCCCAGGGGUGAACUGCAGCCGUUUCUGGUCCGCUGGCACGUUCGGGGAGCUCUUGGAGAUAUACAUACAUGGCCGAAGGCGGUGUUCACUGCAGCCCUGUUUGGAAGAGCAAGAGACUAGAAACAGCCUAAAUGUCCGUCCAUGGAGAGACGGGUCAAGAUGCUACGUUCACCUGCAAGACAAUACGGCGAGGGCACGCUUCCUGUCAGGUGGGGAGUGAUCUCCCAGCUACAUCAGGAAGGAGAAAAAGGCAAGGCGCCGAGGAGCAUCGGGCUGUGCAUGUUGACAUAAAAGUAGAAAGUUCCAGACCGUGCUGAACGUGUGGGGAUUCCAGGAGUGUGGUUCACAGGAGGCCUUAAGCUGUGGACUAGAGGGCAACUUCAGAUGAUGGGAAACAAGGCAAGAGAGCUGGUGGCGAGCACGGCCCCUGGUUAUCUAGGAGCCUGCGAUGGAACGGCCUGUGGUGAUGUAACCAGACGCUAACAGCGCAAGCCCUUGGGAGGAAGGGUAGAUGGAAUAGACGCCGUGUCAAAGACAUAGAAAAUUAGGGAAUUGUUUAACACUGCACCACUGGAAAAAGAUCCCAGCCUUUCCUGUGAUUAGUAGGUGCACAGAGAACUUAGAUCACACGGGGAAAGACUCUUCAAAGCCAUUAAAACAAAGCACAGCAUGACUGAACUAAUACCAGACAUCUGUUGCAUCAAUAAAUGUAAAUGGGCUAAACUCUCCUAUUAAACAUUUUUUAAAAGGCA
This is a long non-coding RNA of Bubalus bubalis (water buffalo), 976 nucleotides long. RefSeq lists it as uncharacterized. The record is from RefSeq and is a predicted model, not a curated record. NCBI's taxonomy places the organism in Eukaryota, Metazoa, Chordata, Mammalia, Artiodactyla, Bovidae. The transcript is spliced from 5 exons.